This 460-nucleotide ribosomal RNA is filed under the name Oncaea cf. mediterranea 'broad form'. RNAcentral's name for it is "partial 12S ribosomal RNA". Lineage: Eukaryota; Metazoa; Arthropoda; Copepoda; Poecilostomatoida; Oncaeidae. The record is from RNAcentral.
CCGAGGACUUAAUCUUUUACUUGGUUAUUAAAAAAAUUAUUCUUUUUUUAGUAAAAUAAAAUACAAGUUAUAAUUUUUUAAUAUAUAAGAAAAAAUCUUUUACCUCCCCCAAAACAAGACUAGAAGCUUAUUAUGAAGAUCAAAUUUAUAUAGUUUAAAGAAUGUAAAAUAAAUGACAGUAGAAUAACUCGAGUUAAGGAAUUUUGAAAAAUAAAUUGAUAAUCCUCAAUUUUAUUUACUUUAUAAAAUUUUUUGUGCGGCUGUUUAAUAAAACUUUAGUAGGAUAAGUUUAAAUCAGGUUAUGUAUUAUUUUUCUAUAAAGGAAUUUUUGAAAUGCAUUUUAAGUUUAAAAAGUAAUUAGUUUAUUAAAAUAUUUUAAUUAAUAAUAGUACCUAACAGUAAUAAACAAAUUUUUGAACCCUAUUUAUUCUAGGCUCAAAUCGUCCGUCACUCUCAUUUU